GUGCAGCAGGCGAGAAACUUCACAAUGUGCGAAAGCACGAUGAGGGAAUCCCAAGUGCUUGCACGUAAGUGUAAGCUGUUUCUCUGUCUAAAACGCAGAGAGAGUAAGGGCUGGGUAAGACGGGUGCCAGCCGCCGCGGUAAUACCUGCAGCUCGAGUGGUGACCGUUAUUAUUGGGCCUAAAACGUCCGUAGCCGGUUUAAUAAAUGCCUGGGUAAAUCGGACCGCUUAACGGUUCGAAUUCCGGGUAGACUGUUAAACUUGAGACCGGGAGAAGUUAGAGGUACUCCUGGGGUAGAGGUGAAAUUCUGUAAUCCUAGGGGGACCACCAGUGGCGAAGGCGUCUAACUAGAACGGGUCUGACGGUGAGGGACGAAGCCCUGGGGCGCAAAC
Molecule: ribosomal RNA, 392 nt
Filed under: uncultured microorganism
Description: bacterial SSU rRNA
Rfam family: Archaeal small subunit ribosomal RNA
Source: RNAcentral